Molecule: unclassified non-coding RNA, 430 nt
Filed under: soil metagenome
Description: partial contains 5.8S ribosomal RNA, internal transcribed spacer 2, and large subunit ribosomal RNA
Rfam family: 5.8S ribosomal RNA (bases 1-120)
Source: RNAcentral
GAUGAAGAACGUAGCGAAAUGCGAUACGUAAUGUGAAUUGCAGAAUUCAGUGAAUCAUCGAAUCUUUGAACGCAUAUUGCGCUCUCUGGUAUUCCGGAGAGCAUGCUUGUUUGAGUAUCAGUAAACACCUCAACUCCCUUUUCUUUUUUGAAAUUGGAGCUGGACUUGAGUGAUCCCAACGCUUUCUUCCAAGAAAGUGGCGGGUUGCUUGAAAUGCAGGUGCAGCUGAACUUUUCUCUGAGCUAUAAGCAUAUCUAUUUAGUCUGCCUAAAAAACAGAUUAUUACCUUUGCUGCAGCUAACAUAAAGGAGACUAGUUCUUGUGCUGACUGAUGCAGGAUUCACAGAGACAGCUUCGGCUGACUUUGUAAACUCGAUCUCUAAUCAAGUAAGACUACCCGCUGAACUUAAGCAUAUCAAUAAGCGGAGGA